Small nuclear RNA from Schistocerca nitens (vagrant locust), 107 nucleotides. NCBI's taxonomy places the organism in Eukaryota, Metazoa, Arthropoda, Insecta, Orthoptera, Acrididae. The record is from RefSeq and is a predicted model, not a curated record.
GUACUCACUUCGGUGGCACGUGUACCUAAGUCGGAACCAUACAGAGAGGGUUAGUAUGACCCCUAGGAGAGUAUGACACGCAAAAUCGAAAAAAAAGGAAAAUAGUG